Molecule: long non-coding RNA, 598 nt
Organism: Patella vulgata (common limpet)
Lineage: Eukaryota; Metazoa; Mollusca; Gastropoda; Patellidae
Exons: 3
Source: RefSeq, a predicted model, not a curated record
AAAAAUACACCCUUAAUGUAUUAUUUUUUUAAAUUAAAUUUAUAUCGUACUAAAGUAUAUAUAAGGACAGAAGAAUUCUUUUCUCUCCAUUAGAUGAUUGAGUGUGGAGUCGCAGCUACUGAAAUAUACCUAGAAUAAUGAAGCUUUUAUUAAUCGCCAUCGUUGUACUCGCUGUACACUAUUCAGAAGGAAGAAGUUAUCUGAAUUUACCGACGUGUACCCCAAAUUGUGACAAUGUACAAUGUCCUGAGGAGUCAUCAUUUGGGGGCUGUGAACGUGGUAUGCCCUAUUGUGGAUGCUGUGAAGAAUGUACUGGUGAAGUUGGUGCCACUUGUUCAGCGCGUACUGUCAGAUGUGGGCGUGGUUUGGUGUGUACAAAUGAUGCCGGCGAGGAAAGACAGUUGGUUUGGCCCACAGAUAAACACUACCGGGGAACCUGUACAGAACCCAGUGGUACCCGAAACAGAAACCGACGUCCUAGGCCUCAAAAUAGAAACCGACGUCCUGGAUCUACAAAUAGGAACAGACGCCCUGGACCCCAAUGUGUUUAAAGUAAAAAAUAAAAGUGCAUCAAAUCUUUGAAAUGCACAGAAUCCAA